GAUGAAGAACGCAGCGAAAUGCGAUAAGUAGUGUGAAUUGCAGAAUUCAGUGAAUCAUCGAAUCUUUGAACGCACCUUGCGCUCCUUGGUAUUCCGAGGAGCAUGCCUGUUUGAGUGUCAUGAAAUUCUCAACCUUUUCAGCUUUCUUUGUUGAUCAGGCUUGGAUGUGGGAGUAUGCGGGCUUCUCAGAAGUCGGCUCUCCUGAAAUGCAUUAGCGGGACCUUUGUUGCCUGGCUUUGGUGUGAUAAUUAUCUACGCCAUUGUGGUCAAGCAGCUUAAAAUGAGGUUUCAGCUUCUAACCGUCUCCCCUGAGACAACUUUUUGACAAUUUGACCUCAAAUCAGGUAGGACUACCCGCUGAACUUAAGCAUAUCAAUAAGCGGAGGA
RNAcentral lists this unclassified non-coding RNA (387 nucleotides) under soil metagenome. Its description in RNAcentral is "partial contains 5.8S ribosomal RNA, internal transcribed spacer 2, and large subunit ribosomal RNA". The stretch from base 1 to 120 matches the Rfam family "5.8S ribosomal RNA", at positions 35 to 154 of the family's 154-position model. The record is from RNAcentral.